GACGAACGCUGGCGGCGUGCUUAACACAUGCAAGUCGAACGGAAAGGCCUGCUUUCCCUUGUGGAUUGCGGGUACUCGAGUGGCGAACGGGUGAGUAACACGUGAGUGAUCUGCCCCCAACUUGGGUAUAAGCCUGGGAAACUGGGUCUAAUUCCCGAUAGGACUGCAGGGUGGUGCCUGUGGUGGAAAACGAUUUUCUAGUGGUUGGGGAUGAGCUCGCGGCCUAUCAGCUUGUUGGUGGGGUAAUGGCCUACCAAGGCGGCGACGGGUAGCCGGCCUGAGAGGGUGGACGGCCACAUUGGGACUGAGAUCCGGCCCAGACUCCUACGGGAGGCAGCAGUGGGGAAUAUUGCACAAUGGGCGGAAGCCUGAUGCAGCGACGCCGCGUGGGGGAUGACGGCCUUCGGGUGGUAAACUCCUUUCGACCGCGAGGAAGCCACCUGGUUGGAAGGGUGGUGACGGUAGUGGUAGAAGAAGCACCGGCUAACUACGUG
This 494-nucleotide ribosomal RNA is filed under the name uncultured bacterium. RNAcentral describes it as "partial 16S ribosomal RNA". It matches the Rfam family "Bacterial small subunit ribosomal RNA", at positions 28 to 507 of the family's 1533-position model. The record is from RNAcentral.